Molecule: ribosomal RNA, 580 nt
Filed under: uncultured bacterium
Lineage: Bacteria
Description: bacterial SSU rRNA
Rfam family: Bacterial small subunit ribosomal RNA
Source: RNAcentral
GGGUGAGUAACAUAUCGGAACGUAUCCAAUAAUGGGGGAUAACUAAUCGAAAGGUUGGCUAAUACCGCAUACGCCCUACGGGGGAAAGCAGGGGAUCUUCGGACCUUGCGUUAAUGGAGCGGCUGAUAUCUGAUUAGCUAGUUGGUGAGGUAAAGGCUCACCAAGGCGACGAUCAGUAGCUGGUCUGAGAGGACGACCAGCCACACUGGAACUGAGACACGGUCCAGACUCCUACGGGAGGCAGCAGUGGGGAAUUUUGGACAAUGGGCGCAAGCCUGAUCCAGCCAUUCCGCGUGAGUGAAGAAGGCCUUCGGGUUGUAAAGCUCUUUCGCAAGGGAAGAAACGUUACGGGCGAAUAACUCGUGAUAAUGACGGUACCUUGAUAAGAAGCACCGGCUAACUACGUGCCAGCAGCCGCGGUAAUACGUAGGGUGCGAGCGUUAAUCGGAAUUACUGGGCGUAAAGCGUGCGCAGGCGGUUUUGUAAGUCAGAUGUGAAAUCCCCGAGCUCAACUUGGGAACUGCGUUUGAAACUACAAGACUAGAAUAGGUCAGAGGGGGGUAGAAUUCCACGUGUAGCA